GUCCAUGCCGUAAACGAUGUCUACUAGCCGUUGGGCCUUUGAGGCUUUAGUGGCGCAGCUAACGCGAUAAGUAGACCGCCUGGGGAGUACGGUCGCAAGACUAAACUCAAAUGAAUUGACGGGGGCCCGCACAAGCGGUGGAGCAUGUGGUUUAAUUCGAUGCAACGCGAAGAACCUUACCUGGUCUUGACAUACAGAGAACUUUUCCAGAGAUGGAUUGGUGCCUUCGGGAACUCUGAUACAGGUGCUGCAUGGCUGUCGU
Molecule: ribosomal RNA, 262 nt
Filed under: uncultured bacterium
Lineage: Bacteria
Description: partial 16S ribosomal RNA
Rfam family: Bacterial small subunit ribosomal RNA
Source: RNAcentral